AGGAUAAUAGUUAAAUUAACAUUAAAGUUGCAAUUUAAAAUCAUUGUAUAUACAAUUUAUCUUA
Molecule: transfer RNA, 64 nt
Filed under: Diaphanes pectinealis
Lineage: Eukaryota; Metazoa; Arthropoda; Insecta; Coleoptera; Lampyridae
Description: tRNA-Ala
Source: RNAcentral